GACGAACGCUGGCGGCGUGCUUAACACAUGCAAGUCGAACGGUGAAGCUCCAGCUUGCUGGAGUGGAUCAGUGGCUAACGGGUGAGUAACACGUGAGCAACCUGCCCCUGACUCUGGAAUAAGCGCUGGAAACGGCGUCUAAUACUGGAUACGAGAAGGGCCCGCAUGGGCACUUUCUGGAAAGUUUUUCGGUUGGGGAUGGGCUCGCGGCCUAUCAGCUUGUUGGUGAGGUAAUGGCUCACCAAGGCGACGACGGGUAGCCGGCCUGAGAGGGCGACCGGCCACACUGGGACUGAGACACGGCCCAGACUCCUACGGGAGGCAGCAGUGGGGAAUAUUGCACAAUGGGCGAAAGCCUGAUGCAGCGACGCCGCGUGAGGGAUGACGGCCUUCGGGUUGUAAACCUCUUUCAGCAGGGAAGAAGCGAAAGUGACGGUACCUGCAGAAGAAGCACCGGCUAACUACGUG
Molecule: ribosomal RNA, 468 nt
Filed under: uncultured bacterium
Lineage: Bacteria
Description: partial 16S ribosomal RNA
Rfam family: Bacterial small subunit ribosomal RNA
Source: RNAcentral